RNAcentral lists this ribosomal RNA (229 nucleotides) under uncultured bacterium. RNAcentral describes it as "partial 16S ribosomal RNA". It matches the Rfam family "Bacterial small subunit ribosomal RNA", at positions 118 to 347 of the family's 1533-position model. The record is from RNAcentral.
UGGGUGACCUGCCCUCAGCUCUGGGAUAAGCCUGGGAAACUGGGUCUAAUACUGGAUAUUCACUUCCUAUCGCAUGGUGGGUGGUGGAAAGUUUUUUCGGCUGGGGAUGGGCCCGCGGCCUAUCAGCUUGUUGGUGGGGUGAUGGCCUACCAAGGCGACGACGGGUAGCCGGCCUGAGAGGGUGACCGGCCACACUGGGACUGAGACACGGCCCAGACUCCUACGGGAG